AAAUUGAAGAGUUUGAUCAUGGCUCAGAUUGAACGCUGGCGGCAGGCCUAACACAUGCAAGUCGAACGGUAACAGGAAACAGCUUGCUGUUUCGCUGACGAGUGGCGGACGGGUGAGUAAUGUCUGGGAAACUGCCUGAUGGAGGGGGAUAACUACUGGAAACGGUAGCUAAUACCGCAUAACGUCGCAAGACCAAAGAGGGGGACCUUCGGGCCUCUUGCCAUCGGAUGUGCCCAGAUGGGAUUAGCUUGUUGGUGGGGUAACGGCUCACCAAGGCGACGAUCCCUAGCUGGUCUGAGAGGAUGACCAGCCACACUGGAACUGAGACACGGUCCAGACUCCUACGGGAGGCAGCAGUGGGGAAUAUUGCACAAUGGGCGCAAGCCUGAUGCAGCCAUGCCGCGUGUAUGAAGAAGGCCUUCGGGUUGUAAAGUACUUUCAGCGGGGAGGAAGGGAGUAAAGUUAAUACCUUUGCUCAUUGACGUUACCCGCAGAAGAAGCACCGGCUAACUCCGUGCCAGCAGCCGCGGUAAUACGGAGGGUGCAAGCGUUAAUCGGAAUUACUGGGCGUAAAGCGCACGCAGGCGGUUUGUUAAGUCAGAUGUGAAAUCCCCGGGCUCAACCUGGGAACUGCAUCUGAUACUGGCAAGCUUGAGUCUCGUAGAGGGGGGUAGAAUUCCAGGUGUAGCGGUGAAAUGCGUAGAGAUCUGGAGGAAUACCGGUGGCGAAGGCGGCCCCCUGGACGAAGACUGACGCUCAGGUGCGAAAGCGUGGGGAGCAAACAGGAUUAGAUACCCUGGUAGUCCACGCCGUAAACGAUGUCGACUUGGAGGUUGUGCCCUUGAGGCGUGGCUUCCGGAGCUAACGCGUUAAGUCGACCGCCUGGGGAGUACGGCCGCAAGGUUAAAACUCAAAUGAAUUGACGGGGGCCCGCACAAGCGGUGGAGCAUGUGGUUUAAUUCGAUGCAACGCGAAGAACCUUACCUGGUCUUGACAUCCACGGAAGUUUUCAGAGAUGAGAAUGUGCCUUCGGGAACCGUGAGACAGGUGCUGCAUGGCUGUCGUCAGCUCGUGUUGUGAAAUGUUGGGUUAAGUCCCGCAACGAGCGCAACCCUUAUCCUUUGUUGCCAGCGGUCCGGCCGGGAACUCAAAGGAGACUGCCAGUGAUAAACUGGAGGAAGGUGGGGAUGACGUCAAGUCAUCAUGGCCCUUACGACCAGGGCUACACACGUGCUACAAUGGCGCAUACAAAGAGAAGCGACCUCGCGAGAGCAAGCGGACCUCAUAAAGUGCGUCGUAGUCCGGAUUGGAGUCUGCAACUCGACUCCAUGAAGUCGGAAUCGCUAGUAAUCGUGGAUCAGAAUGCCACGGUGAAUACGUUCCCGGGCCUUGUACACACCGCCCGUCACACCAUGGGAGUGGGUUGCAAAAGAAGUAGGUAGCUUAACCUUCGGGAGGGCGCUUACCACUUUGUGAUUCAUGACUGGGGUGAAGUCGUAACAAGGUAACCGUAGGGGAACCUGCGGUUGGAUCACCUCCUUA
Molecule: ribosomal RNA, 1542 nt
Filed under: Escherichia coli
Lineage: Bacteria; Pseudomonadati; Pseudomonadota; Gammaproteobacteria; Enterobacterales; Enterobacteriaceae
Also listed under: 14 other names
Description: bacterial SSU rRNA
Rfam family: Bacterial small subunit ribosomal RNA
Source: RNAcentral